GUACGGCGAGUGAAGAGGGAAAAGCUCAAGUUUGGAAGCUUCGUGGCAUAGCUACGACGCGUUGUAAACUGAAGUUUUUUGGGUGAUUGGGCGACCGGAUAAAUAAGUCCUUUGGAAAGGGGCAACAUAGAGGGUGACAUUCCCGUCUUUGGUCCGAGUCAGUGCAGUCGCUGCCCAGGAAACGACGAGUCAGGUUGUUUGGGAAUGCAGCCUAAAAUGGGAGGUAAAUCUCUCCUAAAGCUAAAUACUGGCGUAAGACCGAUAGCGAACAAGUACCGUGAGGGAAAGAUGAAAAGGACUUUGAAAAGAGGGUCAAAUAGUACGUGAAAUUGUUGAAAGGGAACCGUAUGAAAGUAGACUGGCUUGGUGAUGAUCAAUGUGUGUUUCGGCACGCAUGCACUCAUUGCCUUUGCCAGCCAGCGGCAGUUUUUGCUAAAGGAAGAAAAUCAGGGGAAUGUAGCUUCGAUUUCGGUUGAAGUGUUAUAGCUCCUGGUAAAAUACUUUGGCAGAGACUGAGGCUAGCAGCGGAUCUUUGGGAACUUUGCGCGCUUGUCGUCCAAUGGUUAAGUUUUCUUCGGAUGCUUGGUCAUUGGGUGGCAACUCGUGUGAUGCUUCACCCUUCCGCUUAGGUCGCU
Molecule: ribosomal RNA, 635 nt
Filed under: Gongronella butleri
Lineage: Eukaryota; Fungi; Mucoromycota; Mucoromycetes; Mucorales; Cunninghamellaceae
Description: LSU rRNA
Rfam family: Eukaryotic large subunit ribosomal RNA
Source: RNAcentral